AGCAGCUCACAGGUCAGUACACAUGGUCUGGUGAUUCCCCGCUUCACGAACGAAGCGUCUGCCCUCUUUACUCUCAUUAUUGAAUUACGUAGACGCCCGCACAUAAUUAUAUAUAGAGAGAGACACGCUAGUAAGCUUAAAUUUACCCUUUUUGAAGUUGGUACAAAAAUAGCAGUGAGAUAAGAAGAAGAUUAAUUUUUGUCUCUUUUUGAUUGUUGCGAAAGCUUGAAGGAAUUGGUAUGUUGGUAAAGUACGCAAACUUAUCGACAGUUGAUAAGUAAUGACGAAAUGGAGGGAAGUCGCAUCAAUCGUGCCGCUAAGAUCAGCCAGAGUGUACAAAUUUAUUACAAAACAGAGAGAGAAGGUGAAUGGUGGCAAAGAGAAGUAAAGAAGGAUCUUUCAAUCAGUUCAAAAAGAGACCGUAACACGUCUUUGAAGAUCAUCAGAGAGGUACUAAAAUGAAUCAUAGAUCGCUAGAUUACAUUAUAAGUUAUUCAACAAAAAAAAAAAAAAGAAAAAAAAAGAAAGAGAAUAUUAAUUGACCCUGACUUGGAGAAUUAUUUAUGAGCUAACAAAAAUUCUAUCUGAUAUUCUACAAAGAAAAAGAGUGUCACUUUUAAGGAUCCUUCACAGGACAGCCAACUUGCAUGAAUAAAGAUAUCCAGUAUUGCAAAGGAGUACAUACAAAUCGCACACCGCUUUGCCAGGGACUGUAAUUUGAAAGUAUUUGUGGAUCUGUGUUCUAUACAUAACGACCGGAAAUACGUUAACUUAGGAAAAAUGUAAUUAUAUUAAAUGUACUAUAAAACACGUGGUAUAGUCGUAAUGCAUGGAACAUUAGUAACGUGCCUGCGAACACGACGUGGAUCGUGUGAAUAAAAGUAUGGAUCGUGAAAAAAUGUGAAUGUGUUAUGUAAUAGUACAUUGACUUUUGUUUGAAAGUUUCUAUUGGCCAAUUUCUGCGGCCAUAUUGUAAGCGAUACUUGAAGUUAAUAUUCGAUGGAAGUACGUUGGUUUAGUCAACUUUAUCAUAGUGAUAAUUUUCCAUAAACAAAAUAGUAGAAUCGACAAAAGAGAUGAUGAAGUUACGCGAACCACGUCGUAUCAUAAAUGCAAUCAAAGGUUUAUUAAAUAUUGUCUUUUAUCGAAACGAGAAAGACCGAUUGAUUUAUCGCAAUUCCUAUAAUUUUCGAAGACAUGGAAAAAAUAGGGUAAAAUCAUGAGAUACGAAGUAACAGAGAGCAAAAAUGCAGCGUGCCACUGAAAAAGUUAAGAGGAAUUCUUUGUUAUCAAUCUAUCGAUAAGCAAUAAUAAGUUCUCGACACCCGUAGUGAUCUCUGAUGGAACUGUUUUCACAAAAUAUAGUGAUAUUUUGUGAAAUCCCCAAAAUUAUAAUAAUAUCUUAGUGAUAAUAGCUUUAGUAACAAUUAUUUUUUCAUGUAAGUAGUACUUAACGUGCGUAGUGAUUAACAAAGUUGUCAUUAGUUAAUUUAAAAUAAAGCUAUUGCUAUAUAUAUUUACUAUAAUGAACAAAUAUAGUACUAAUAACUUUAUAGUUGUUACUAAUGGAAACGAAGUGCUACGUUUUUUGUAAUCCAAGAUAAAGAAACACAGUACUACGUUGGUAAAACGGAUACUGUGCGUCUCUAAUUACAUACAAAUCUAACUGAAGCAGUUCUACAACAUGGUCUAUUAAAACUAAUUUCAAACAUCUAGUAUUUAAAAUAAAAGAAAUUAACUUGUAAUCAAAUGUCACCAGGUGUCGAGACCCACAAAGAAAGAGAAAUAGUUUGAGAAACAGAAGCGGCCAAACAAUAGCUCGUGCGCGCGCGCGCUAUCAUAGAAGUGUUCUAUGGCUGUGUGUGUGCAUUAGGGGAGAUUCAUACGUGACUAGAGGAUGUCGCAGACGCAUAAAUCAGCGAGAAAAAGGGGAAAUCGGGACCUGUCGAUAUGUACCACUAGUAAAAAAAUCCCUAACCUUUCCAUUGCUUAAGAUUUCUGAUUGAGUCAGAAGGAAAAUGAAAAGGCUAGGAAAGAUUAGCACUACCAACUUAUAAAAUAAAAAUAGAAGACAAAAGGGGUAGAGAGAAGGCGUGUAAAACGAAAAGCGUGUGAAAGAAACAGAGAGAAAGAGAUAGUAUUAGACAGAGAUAGAAAUUCUGUAUGUAUGUAUGUCUGUGUAAAAGUAUGCCUGUAUGUGUAUGUUAUAUGUAUAUGUGUGUAAACAUAGAGUAAAAACAGUUACAGUAGACAGUUACAGACAGACAGACAGACAGACAGACAGACAGACAGACAGACAGAUAGAAAUAAGAUAAAGAUCUAGCGAAAGUGUGAAAGAUAGAGCAGAGAGGAGCGCUUACAGCUUGGUCUGUCGAACUCUUGCUGUAGGGUACUGGUAUCAAACGUUCCUGCAACUCGCCACCUAUUACCUUCAAGAGUAAAGGAUAAUAUCAUGGUUAUAACUGGAUACAACGAGCAGUUAAUGCACUUAACAGUACACCAUUUCUCGAAAUAUUGGUGUACUAAAAAAAGUAAUUCUUUUUUAACAUUCCUGAACCUUUGUCCCGGUAUUGAAUAACACCACGCUCUCUGCCUAUAGGCACCUUUUAACUGAUGAAAUUAUCUCUUUGAAAUUUCCCUAGGAAUAAAUCCAAAGCUAUAUUUAUAGUUACCAUCCCUCAUGGAAAUUUUGUUUAGCAGAUUAUACGAGAAACGAUUGAACUGGCCUCCAGGAUACCAAUUUACUAUUUUAGAAACUACUUUGUUUGGUGUUUUGUAAGGAGUAUUUACAACAGAAACAGAUAUUUAGAGAUAGUGAAGCUAAAAAGUGCCUGAUCGUCAAUAACUAUUGAGAAAGAAGUACACUUAAAAGUGGUAACCUGCUGGUUAUGUAUAAUCAUUAUGUAUAUGUUAUUCGCGUGAAUAUCAUUGGAUGUGUAAAACUCGCGGCACUCGAUCGCACGAAGUAUAUGGAAAAAGGAAAUAAAAAAGAUAACAGAGAUUCAUAAGUGGAAACCGAGAAUAGCUCAUACAUGCAACGUAAGAUAUAAUAUCCUUGAAGAUAUACACCCUCGUACGAUAUGUUUUUCAUUUAUCAUUUCUAAACGAAAACUGUUGUAAGAAAUGCCUAGCAAUGUAUGUAUUUCCCUUGUCCCAUUGUUUGUUGAUAUUAACUUAACAGGUGAAAAUCCUACGACAAAUGAAUCCUAUUACAGUGUCAAAUUAAUUAAUUAGCCCAGUGAGAGACGAGUUUCAUAGAUUUCAUUUAUCUCUGCACUUUGAACUUCUCGAGGCCUACCCAGUGAGUUACAAAGACACAUAUAUAACAAUGAUCUUUAUUACAUGAAGUAAUAGUAUCUUCUGAUAGAGUAUCUUCUGAAUAGCAUCACGAAAUGGUAAAAGUCUAGGAUAAUGAGUGAAUAGAAUAAAUCCGAGAUUAGAGUUUAGAAAGUUCCGUAGAGACUCAAUCUCAAACAUAGUAGAGUACUACGCAUCUAGUUGUAUGCAUCCCAGUAGAGUACCGCGUGUUUAGUUGCAUAUAGAACACCGUGACGUUCAGUAACAAAGUAGUCUACAGUAGAAUAAUCAAUGACUGGCACAGUACCAGCUAGUAGUAAGAAGGAGUAGUCAGAUGGACUGCAGUGAAAUAUUAAACUUAACUUCGUUUUGCAAUGCAUCAAAUUUGUCACUUUUUUAAUAAUGUAUGAUACUUUUUGGUGAGUAGAAUUUAAAAAUAUUAGUUACAUUAUUACGAGUUAUUCAUAUAGAGCUCCGUUUUCGAAAAAACUGAGAUUGUAUAUCUGUUACGUUUGCUUGCAUUCCACUAACAGUACUCUAGAAUUACUUUACCCAGUCUAGCUAGCUACUGUUACCUCCACUUGUGUCUACAAACAAUAUCAAUCAGGAUUUUGUUUGUAUAUCUCUCAAAACAAUGAUUUCGCGCCUUAGAACUGAGGUUUUUUAAUUCUACUCGCCAAAAGCUUAUCAUAUGUUGUGAAAAAAGAUCACAAAUUCGAUAUGUCCCAAAACGUUCAACCAAAUAUUCUAUAUUAGAGUUCAUGUACAUUAGUGUCUUAAGGCCAUCGAAGAGUAACCUCAAUUACAGUGCUGUCCAUCAGUAGCAGGACUUCUAAAUAUACCUUCAAAUGAUUUAUAUUUAUAUAACAUCCUUUGUUUGAUUAUAUCCAUAGAGAGUACUGAGAAGGUUUGGCUGUUAAACCUGGGGAUGCCUCAGAUAUGUUUAUGUAUAACAAAUUCCUGUAUCAUUAUAAUAUAUAACUUUUAUAAGAUAUAAUUUUUCAAAAGAACUAUAACAGUCAACUUGCGAAUAAUGUUUUGACACCGUUACUUUAAUUUAGUGCUCACACUCUGAAACAAAGGUAUUUCUCUCCUUCCUGGGGAAUUUUACACCGCAAGUGGCUCAGUUACGUGUUACGCCAUACAGGUGGGGGUGACUACUCGAAAAUGACCUUGAAGAACCAACAUUUGAGAACUCUAGGAUAGAAUUAAUUAGACGUAUCUUGGUGAUACGUUUAAUAAGUGAUCUGCUGUGCAGGAUUCCAUCGACUGAUCUUUUCUUCUUUUUAUUAUAUUACAAUGUGCAAAAGCAUUAGUACGGUCUUUGAAAAUAAAAUCAGGCUCUGGAAUCCCCGUAAAAUAAAUCGAUUUGCGAGCGAGAGUGGUGACUUACGAAACAUACGAACAGAAAUGUUAGGUGAGCGUGAGGAAAAACAGAAUAAAGUGAAAGCUGAUGUGCCUUGGUUCACAGCCGGAAACAGUGCUCUUGAAUACCUUUCCGGAAAUGCAUUUGUUUCGAAGCUUCACAUGGCAUUGGCGAUACAACCAUUAUUUUUUCAAUGCAAAUACAGAGAUUGGGAAAAAAUAUAUGUUCUUAUUAUGUCAGACGGAGAAAGCAGAAAUUUAUUUUCAUUAGAUGAGCCUGCUUUGACAAGCUCGCAACUUAUUUCUUUUUUCUAUCGUUGAGAAAAAUCUUUGAGGAGAAGAUGGACAUUAGAAGCAGCUGAGUACUUUGCACUUUUCAUUUCCUCGACCGUGAAGGAACAUCUUGUGUUCGUGCAGCAGAAUACGGUUUAACGCAAGCAAUGCAUAGAAACCACAGAAAUGCUUUUUUUAGUGUGAGCAUACAGUGGACAAUCUUAAGUAAUUUUCUCAUCUUAUACUUAAUAAAACGCAACCUUUUCAGGCACUCAUCUUCAUUUCAAAUUCUCUUAAUUUCUCUACAUUCAUCCUUGAUCUCUCAUAUAACGAGAUAGUUAAGGAAACGCAGUGCCUAAGAAGUUAAUCAGAAUGCAGACUUUUAUAUUUCUUUGGUCUGAAAGAUUCAGAUCAAAAACAAGGCUCAAUAUAGACAAAGUGGACUCACGUUGAGUUGUAGAGUUUUACAAAGUGCAAGCAGAUACAGUGUAAGUUACAAUAUCAAUAAGAAGUGAACAAAAUUAAAAAAUUUCUCUAUUGCAGUCAACGAUACUUUCAUUGAAGUCUCUUUCACAGUGUUCUUUCUGAUUCUGAUAAGACUCCUAAUACUUUCUGUUACGCUGUGAAUCAUAUGAAAAGACAUAUAGAAGUUUGGCUGUAGUGAGUAAAAAAAUAGAAAUAUUAUGGCAUCGCUUGAAGAGUAAGUAGUUAUAGAUAUAUAUAUAAUAAUUGAAUAGAAAAUAAUCCACAUGGGAGAAAGAUUUUCAUAGAAAAAUGCACAUGGACCAGUAUCGGUUGCCUUUAAGAAUCAGUAUUUACUUUUAUUCAUCAAGUUAUUGUGCAGAUUUGUUUUUUCCAUUUAUAAGCACGCGAAUCGAGAAACGGACUUCUAUGACGCGCGCUCUUAUUUUCUCCGUUCAGUAGAGGGAUUAAUGAACCAUAAAAUCGAAUAAUUAAUCCUCUGCAAUAGUUUAGUUAAAUUAAUUUCACAAUAUUUACAAUUACGCUAACUAUUUGAACUUGUUGUUUUCUUAAUAAUAACUAUUAUUUCAUUAUAUUUUACUUAAUAGUCUAUCAUUGUCAUAAUCCUUUCUUUUUCUUUUUUGAAUUUUUCUUGGAAUGAAACUCCCAAGUAUCGCUCAUAUACAAGAACUUAAAGAAAUCUUACAGCUUCAUUUGUCUCUCCACUUAUUUUCUAUAUUGAAUACUGGAUCACAAAGAAAAUUCUCUUCAAGGUAAGAAAUAAUUUAAAGAGAACUUAUAUAACACUGAGUAUUUACGCGCUAUCAAAUAGAAUGAAACUUUAUGACGCAGUAUGUAUGUACAUUGUACUCCAACAUUUUUUAUGUUAUAUUUAAUCAGAUGUAGAACAAAUUUGUCGCAUUAAAAAUACUCACACAUUUUGUAUAAAGAAUGUGAAUGCAGAGGUUUAAUAUCACAGUGAAAACGACCGUAAUACACAUAAUUUUUUGCUACAUGAAAGAAAGAAGAGAAAAUCCAAUAUACUAAAGAUAUACCUAAGAAUGUUCAUGCACCCUCUGCUGACCGGUUUCAAUUAAAUAUAACAUUCGGAUAACGUGUCUUAAACUUUAUUUUAUAUAAUAACAAUAAUAAUAAUAAUAGUCGCUAAUAAUAAUUAAUUAAAAAUUAAUAUAUAUAUAUAUAUAUUAUAUUCUCUACGUGUAUCGUUAUAAUUGGUAGUCAAUCAUUUUCAUCAAUCCCGUAUAUUAAACUAAUUUUAAUGCGUCAAUAUGUAAAACUGAACGUCUUCUCCCGAUUGCAAUAUAUUUUCUCUCAUCGUUAUUUGCAUAAAAACAUUUGUAGCCUGCAUUAGACAGAUAAUCCCUUGACAAUGAUGAUUUGCAAAUACACCAAAGUUCGUCUGCUCCUUUCUUUUUUCACAACGACGUGUCACAGAUUUUCUUUAAUCUGUGUAUGUAUUUAAUGUGCAGUGAUUUCUAGCCCGAAUCAAACAGGUGAAUCACGACAGAGAACCCUAACAUAGAAAUGGAUAAGAGAUAAGGUCGAGACAACUUGAACUCCACAAUUGGAACAUUUGGAAGUUGAACCUUUUUUUUCCAGAAGAACUCGAAUAUGCCCCAUGAACAAAGUAGAUCUUUCUGUUCUAUGUAUCAAUGAGACAGAUGAUCAUGUGAAAAUAAAACCAGCAUAAAAUAGGCAGAUUUAUGUACAGCGGUUAGAAUAAAACGUUCGAUAUAACCGUACAAUAUAUAUAUAUAUGUAUAUUUCUUAUAAAAGAGAUUUUAUUUAACAUUUUAAUGUAUCGCAGUUCGUGUGAAUUUUUGUAUAGUCAUCAAUGAAUUGAUAGCACACUGUGAUGCAUUAAAAUUCAAGCUUUCAGAUUCGAGUUUUUCAAGUCUUUAACUUCUUCCAACGUCCCACUCUAUGCAUGGGUAGUUAAAAUAGUACCAGAAAUAAGUUUUAUAGAACCAGUAGUCCAGCAGAAUUUAGUUGCAAUAGAAUACUAUGUACAGAAUAAUCUGAUAUUUCACCAACGCAACUGGAAUUUAAACUGGGUAGUUUCACGAGAAGGAUUUUUCUAAACUAUCCAUCAGUAACGUGGUUACUUUUGAUCGGUGAUGUUAUGAAUCAUCAUCGCAACCAGGAGAGAAGACCUAACGCUGAGUAGCUGUUUCCUCCUUUCUCGUCUUUACAGCUCUUUCACGAAAUAUUAAUAUCAUAGUCUUUCUUUUUUUCCCUUGGUUUUUCUGCUUCAUGCUUCGUUUCUCUCGCAAUCCUGGCAGUGGAUAUCGGCUUUUAAGUCGAUGUGUUUCACAUUGACACACACCUGGUGCGCGAAACGUUUUAAGAGAUUACAAAAUGGAAUAGAUAAACUGACUAUAUGAUUCUAUCCGUCGAUCUGAAUCGGAUUAAAAAGUAAGUUUGCCUCGUUUCUCGUUCGCUAU
Bombus terrestris (buff-tailed bumblebee) is the source of this 7862-nucleotide long non-coding RNA. RefSeq lists it as uncharacterized. The record is from RefSeq and is a predicted model, not a curated record. The transcript is spliced from 4 exons. Lineage: Eukaryota; Metazoa; Arthropoda; Insecta; Hymenoptera; Apidae.